This 492-nucleotide ribosomal RNA is filed under the name uncultured bacterium. Its description in RNAcentral is "partial 16S ribosomal RNA". It matches the Rfam family "Bacterial small subunit ribosomal RNA", at positions 29 to 507 of the family's 1533-position model. The record is from RNAcentral.
AGUGAACGCUGGCGGUAGGCCUAACACAUGCAAGUCGAACGGCAGCACAGUAAGAGCUUGCUCUUACGGGUGGCGAGUGGCGGACGGGUGAGGAAUACAUCGGAAUCUACUUUUUCGUGGGGGAUAACGUAGGGAAACUUACGCUAAUACCGCAUACGACCUACGGGUGAAAGCAGGGGAUCUUCGGACCUUGCGCGAUUGAAUGAGCCGAUGUCGGAUUAGCUAGUUGGCGGGGUAAAGGCCCACCAAGGCGACGAUCCGUAGCUGGUCUGAGAGAAUGAUCAGCCACACUGGAACUGAGACACGGUCCAGACUCCUACGGGAGGCAGCAGUGGGGAAUAUUGGACAAUGGGCGCAAGCCUGAUCCAGCCAUACCGCGUGGGUGAAGAAGGCCUUCGGGUUGUAAAGCCCUUUUGUUGGGAAAGAAAGGCAGCAGGUUAAUACCCCGCUGUUCUGACGGUACCCAAAGAAUAAGCACCGGCUAACUUCGUG